AUGAGUGCACUAAUAUGGAACUGCCGGGGGGAGGGGAACCGCCGGUCAGUUCUUGAGGUUUUGUCCCUCUCAAAAUCCAAUUCCCCGGGGCUUAUUUUGCUUCCAGAAAUGAGACAAGCCUCAUGUAAGAUGGAGAAGUUGAAUUGGAGACUACAAAUGAAAGGUUUUGUGGGAGUGUCUUGUGAGGGUCUUAGUUGGUGACUCACACUUUAUUGGGAUGAGAAGUUGCAGGUAACGGUGCUAGAUUCGUGUGCAUGGUACAUUAAUGUGUGA
Molecule: ribosomal RNA, 273 nt
Filed under: Triticum aestivum (bread wheat)
Lineage: Eukaryota; Viridiplantae; Streptophyta; Magnoliopsida; Poales; Poaceae
Description: partial small subunit ribosomal RNA
Source: RNAcentral